GAUGAAGAACGUAGCGAAAUGCGAUAAGUAAUGUGAAUUGCAGAAUUCAGUGAAUCAUCGAAUCUUUGAACGCACAUUGCGCCCGCCAGUAUUCUGGCGGGCAUGCCUGUUCGAGCGUCAUUACAACCCUCAGGCCCCCGGGCCUGGCGUUGGGGAUCGGCGGAAGCCCCCUGCGGGCACAACGCCGUCCCCCAAAUACAGUGGCGGUCCCGCCGCAGCUUCCAUUGCGUAGUAGCUAACACCUCGCAACUGGAGAGCGGCGCGGCCACGCCGUAAAACACCCAACUUCUGAAUGUUGACCUCGAAUCAGGUAGGAAUACCCGCUGAACUUAAGCAUACAAUAAGCGGAGGA
RNAcentral lists this unclassified non-coding RNA (352 nucleotides) under soil metagenome. Its description in RNAcentral is "partial contains 5.8S ribosomal RNA, internal transcribed spacer 2, and large subunit ribosomal RNA". The stretch from base 1 to 120 matches the Rfam family "5.8S ribosomal RNA", at positions 35 to 154 of the family's 154-position model. The record is from RNAcentral.